UGAGCAAUCUGCCCUUCUCUUCGGAAUAAGCGUUGGAAACGACGUCUAAUGCCGAAUACGACCUCCUUUCGCAUGAUCGGAGGUGGAAAGCUCCGGCGGAGAAGGAUGAGCUCGCGGCCUAUCAGCUAGUUGGUGUGGGUAAUGGCCCACCAAGGCGACGACGGGUAGCCGGCCUGAGAGGGCGACCGGCCACACUGGGACUGAGACACGGCCCAGACCUCCGUACGGGAGG
This 232-nucleotide ribosomal RNA is filed under the name uncultured bacterium. RNAcentral's name for it is "partial 16S ribosomal RNA". It matches the Rfam family "Bacterial small subunit ribosomal RNA", at positions 118 to 347 of the family's 1533-position model. The record is from RNAcentral.